RNAcentral lists this small RNA (584 nucleotides) under Pan troglodytes (chimpanzee). Its description in RNAcentral is "retained intron". The record is from RNAcentral. Lineage: Eukaryota; Metazoa; Chordata; Mammalia; Primates; Hominidae.
GCUGGCUCUUCGCACGCGGCCAUGGCGGACUCCGAGCUGCAGCUGGUUGAGCAGCGGAUCCGCAGCUUCCCCGACUUCCCCACCCCAGGCGUGGUAUUCAGGGACAUCUCGCCCGUCCUGAAGGACCCCGCCUCCUUCCGCGCCGCCAUCGGCCUCCUGGCGCGACACCUGAAGGCGACCCACGGGGGCCGCAUCGACUACAUCGCAGGCGAGUGCCCAGUGGCCGCAUCUAGGGCGCUUCCGCCUCUGCGCGCGCCGAGGGCAGCACGUGGGCUCUGCGCGUCUGCUUGGGGGAGGGCCUUUGGGGUUCUUCAGGGGGCGCCGGGACGGGCGCCGUGCUUGGGUCGCCCGGGAAGGGUUGUGAGAUUGAGCCCCCGAGGCCGCCGCGCUGUGCAGGCGUCCUUCCCGCAGGUUCCGGGUCCCCAGCCCAGGACAGGCGUGACCGAGUUGCUGGGUCAGUUGGUCUCCCUGGAGUGGCCAAGCUGAAUCCACAGGGCCCAGCUGCCUUGCUUCUUGUUCCUUCUGCGAGCUGGUAUUGAGCGCCUGCCACGAGCCAGGCCUUCCCUGGUGAAGAUCACGGAAUG